UUGGGAAAGCAAGUUAUUUCAGGAAUGUUCAAGUUGUUGAUGAUUCCAAUAACCUCAAGGCUCCUAAAGGGAUUGGCACCUUCACUGAGCAAUCUAAUUGCUAUGAUGUUCAAACUGGUAGCAAUGGGGAUUGGGGCCAUUACUUUUAUUAUGGGGGCCCUGGUAGAAACUCCAAUUGCCCUUGAAGAGGAAAAUAUAUUUCAGCUCAUCUGCCCAUAUAUAUUAAUUCUCUCCCUCUGUAUCAUUCAACCUGGUAAUGCAUCUCUUUUGUACACCCUUUUUUUACUGUUAGGCUGGGUUAGUGAUGUGACCUCUUCUAGUGGGAAGUUUUGACUCUAUUUUUUUUUUUUUUUAACUAAAAUAUUCUCCAUGUAAGAGUGGUUGGGAAUAG
Molecule: unclassified non-coding RNA, 391 nt
Filed under: Hevea brasiliensis (rubber tree)
Lineage: Eukaryota; Viridiplantae; Streptophyta; Magnoliopsida; Malpighiales; Euphorbiaceae
Source: RNAcentral